Molecule: ribosomal RNA, 253 nt
Filed under: uncultured bacterium
Lineage: Bacteria
Description: partial 16S ribosomal RNA
Rfam family: Bacterial small subunit ribosomal RNA
Source: RNAcentral
UACGGGGGGGGUAAGCGUUGUUCGGAAUUACUGGGCGUAAAGGGCUCGUAGGCGGCCAACUAAGUCAUACGUGAAAUCCCUCAGCUUAACUGGGGAACUGCGUGUGAUACUGGAUGGCUUGGAUUUGGGAGAGGGAUGCGGAAUUCCAGGUGUAGCGGUGAAAUGCGUAGAGAUGUGGAGGAACACCGAUGGCGAAGGCAGCCUCCUGGGCCAGCACUGACGCUCAUGCACGAAAGCGUGGGGAGCAAACAGG